Molecule: ribosomal RNA, 468 nt
Filed under: uncultured bacterium
Lineage: Bacteria
Description: partial 16S ribosomal RNA
Rfam family: Bacterial small subunit ribosomal RNA
Source: RNAcentral
GACGAACGCUGGCGGCGUGCUUAACACAUGCAAGUCGAACGGAAAGGCCCUGCUUUUGUGGGGUGCUCGAGUGGCGAACGGGUGAGUAACACGUGAGUAACCUGCCCUUGACUUUGGGAUAACUUCAGGAAACUGGGGCUAAUACCGGAUAGGAGCUCCUGCUGCAUGGUGGGGGGUGGAAAGUUUCGGCGGUUGGGGAUGGACUCGCGGCUUAUCAGCUUGUUGGUGGGGUAGUGGCUUACCAAGGCUUUGACGGGUAGCCGGCCUGAGAGGGUGACCGGCCACAUUGGGACUGCGAUACGGCCCAGACUCCUACGGGAGGCAGCAGUGGGGAAUAUUGCACAAUGGGCGGAAGCCUGAUGCAGCAACGCCGCGUGCGGGAUGACGGCCUUCGGGUUGUAAACCGCUUUCGCCUGUGUCGAAGCGUGAGUGACGGUAAUGGGUAAAGAAGCACCGGCUAACUACGUG